Molecule: ribosomal RNA, 460 nt
Filed under: uncultured bacterium
Lineage: Bacteria
Description: partial 16S ribosomal RNA
Rfam family: Bacterial small subunit ribosomal RNA
Source: RNAcentral
CCUACGGGAGGCAGCAGUGAGGAAUAUUGGUCAAUGGACGGAAGUCUGAACCAGCCAUGCCGCGUGCAGGAAGACGGCUCUAUGAGUUGUAAACUGCUUUUGUACAAGGGUAAACCUGAAUACGUGUAUUCAGCUGAAAGUACUGUACGAAUAAGGAUCGGCUAACUCCGUGCCAGCAGCCGCGGUAAUACGGAGGAUCCAAGCGUUAUCCGGAUUUAUUGGGUUUAAAGGGUGCGUAGGAGGAUUGAUAAGUUAGAGGUGAAAUGUCCGAGCUUAACUCGGGAACUGCCUCUAAUACUGUUGAUCUAGAGAGUAGAUGCGGUAGGCGGAAUGUAUGGUGUAGCGGGGAAAUGCUUAGAGAUCAUACAGAACACCGAUUGCGAAGGCAGCUUACCAAUCUAUAUCUGACGUGGAGGCACGAAAGCGUGGGGAGCAAACAGGAUUAGAUACCCGAGUAGUC